UAACCUGAAACUGCUGGGAUGGACAAAGAGCAACUAAGAACAUGACCAAAACACAACCAAACUAAACCGCAGAUCCCUUACAGUGACAAGAAUGACCAGGAGCCAUAGAUGAUGGAGGCUACAGUAAUUAUACAACAUCACCAAUGUACAGGAUGACUGGACUGACUGUCAAACUCACCGUCAUACACGUGUCUCUGUUUGCAGCAGGUUGUCGUCUUCAGUUCAACAGUGUUGAAGUGCUUGCCUCUGCUGGAAACUGCUGGUUUAAAACCAGUCUUUGGCAUCCUCUUAUGAACCACCA
This is a non-coding RNA of Oryzias latipes (Japanese medaka), 301 nucleotides long. The record is from RefSeq and is a predicted model, not a curated record. Lineage: Eukaryota; Metazoa; Chordata; Actinopteri; Beloniformes; Adrianichthyidae.